This is a long non-coding RNA of Oncorhynchus gorbuscha (pink salmon), 1124 nucleotides long. RefSeq lists it as uncharacterized. Lineage: Eukaryota; Metazoa; Chordata; Actinopteri; Salmoniformes; Salmonidae. The record is from RefSeq and is a predicted model, not a curated record. The transcript is spliced from 3 exons.
GUGGAGAAAGACACAGGGGAGCAAUGUCAGUAUUAAAGGAGUAAUCUGGGAUUGGUACAUCGAGGUCUACAUCAACAGUAUUUCUUGUUAGGAGGACCUUGAACAUGGGUACAUCAAGAAUUAAUCUCUUAGCUGAGUAGUUUUGAUAACUCUUGGGGAUUUUUUAAUAUAUUUUUUAUUCAGACAGUGAAUUGCUGUGUACCAAUAGUAUCCAAUUUCUCCUGAAGUGUUCACAACUUCCCACAAGCAUUAGAUAGGUGGCGGCAUGGGCUAGUGCCAUUUCCACCAUAUUUCUUUCAAAUCAGUGAAGGGAAGUGAACAACUGCACACUUUAGGAGGAAGGAGAGAUAAGUAGAUAAUAUAAUUGGAACAUACUGUAGCCCUUGUCAACGACCGCAGCAAGUGACAUCAGAUUGGAGGAGCCGUUUGAAACCACAAGGCCCACGUGAUGGUGUUGCACUCAUAUCUUUAUCUCUUUUCCAACUGAAUAAAAAUAUCUUCAGGUUCAAUAGAGGACACAUCAGAAUCAUCAUAGAAAUGUCUCUAGUAUCUGUUGUCAUUAUUUACUUACUUUAUUUAAUUGCAGUGGCAGGGCAGAAAUUGGACCAGGAGAUUUCAUGGACUAAGAAAAAGGGAGAGGCUGUGUCCUUCAGCUGCAAAUACAAUGAUCAGUGUGGAUCGUAUGUCUUCUGGUACCAGAAGAAAGACAGAGAACCCUUUACCUUGAUUCUCGACAUCGCAAAGAGUACCUGCGCCGUUGAUGCAAGCUACAACCAUCCUCAAAAAUAUGAUUUCUCAUCCGUGAGAAAUAACAGAUGUGAUCUGAAGAUCCAGUUAGUUAAAGUCUCUCAUUCUGCCACCUACUACUGUGCCUGCUAUCUUUCUAGGAGCCCACAGUGAGAACUGAUCCACACACCCUGUACACAAACUCUGUGGUUAUAAUCAAGCUCUGAACUAAUGGAGGAGAAAAAACAAGUUAUUUUUGAACAGUAGGGAGGAACUGUUUGAAAUGACACUCCCAGCUGGUGUUUCACCUCUGAUCUUCAUUAUCGACGAGGCUGCUUCAGGACAGUGGCUGCAACAGGACCAAAUAUCAGAGACUAGGAGAGAGAGACAUACAGUGG